CCUACGGGUGGCAGCAGUGGGGAAUAUUGAACAAUGGGGGGAACCCUGAUCCAGCCAUGCCGCGUGUGUGAAGAAGGCCCUCGGGUUGUAAAGCACUUUCAGUGAGGAAGAACGCCUGGUGGUUAAUACCCAUCAGGAAAGACAUCACUCACAGAAGAAGCACCGGCUAACUCCGUGCCAGCAGCCGCGGUAAUACGGAGGGUGCGAGCGUUAAUCGGAAUUACUGGGCGUAAAGCGCGCGUAGGUGGCUUGAUAAGCCGGUUGUGAAAGCCCCGGGCUCAACCUGGGAACGGCAUCCGGAACUGUCAAGCUAGAGUGCAGGAGAGGAAGGUAGAAUUCCCGGUGUAGCGGUGAAAUGCGUAGAGAUCGGGAGGAAUAACAGUGGCGAAGGCGGCCUUCUGGACUGACACUGACACUGAGGUGCGAAAGCGUGGGUAGCAAACAGGAUUAGAUACCCCUGUAGUC
This 465-nucleotide ribosomal RNA is filed under the name Vreelandella stevensii. Its description in RNAcentral is "partial 16S ribosomal RNA". It matches the Rfam family "Bacterial small subunit ribosomal RNA", at positions 338 to 795 of the family's 1533-position model. The record is from RNAcentral. Lineage: Bacteria; Pseudomonadati; Pseudomonadota; Gammaproteobacteria; Oceanospirillales; Halomonadaceae.